UACGAAGAGGGCUAGCGUUGUUCGGAAUUACUGGGCGUAAAGGGCGCGUAGGCGGUGUGUCAAGUCAGGCGUGAAAGCCCCGGGCUCAACCUGGGAACCGCGCUUGAGACUGGCACGCUCGAGUUCGGGAGAGGAUGGUGGAAUUCCCAGUGUAGAGGUGAAAUUCGUAGAUAUUGGGAAGAACACCGAUGGCGAAGGCAGCCAUCUGGACCGACACUGACGCUGAGGCGCGAAAGCGUGGGGAGCAAACAGG
This 253-nucleotide ribosomal RNA is filed under the name uncultured bacterium. Its description in RNAcentral is "partial 16S ribosomal RNA". It matches the Rfam family "Bacterial small subunit ribosomal RNA", at positions 524 to 776 of the family's 1533-position model. The record is from RNAcentral.